RNAcentral lists this long non-coding RNA (484 nucleotides) under Salvia miltiorrhiza (redroot sage). Its description in RNAcentral is "long non-coding RNA (SMIL_LNC001374)". Lineage: Eukaryota; Viridiplantae; Streptophyta; Magnoliopsida; Lamiales; Lamiaceae. The record is from RNAcentral.
AGCCCAAUAGGCUCGUUUUCCAUUUUGGGACGUCCCAGCCCAAUAGGCUCAGUCUUAAAUUGGAAAUAAUUAGGGUCUUCUUAAUUUUUAAUUAAGGAAAGAUAUACCCUUUAAUUUCUCACUCUAAUAUUCAUUUCUCACUUUAAUUUCAUUUCUCCCCACUCUCUCUCUCUCUCUCUCUCUUCGACUUCCCCUCCCCUCUUCAACGGCCAGAGCGUCGCCGCCGACACCAGAGCUCCGGCGACACACUCUCUCUCUCUCUCUUCGACUUCCCCUCCCCUCUUCAACGGCCAGAGCGUCGCCGCCGACACCAGAGCUCCGGCGACACUCUCUCUCUCUCUCUCUUCGACUUCCCCUCCCCUCUAGAAUCCGGCGAACAGCAGUAGGAGACGGAGCCUACCGGCAUCCCCCUCAGAUCUCGCUUCCCUUUCGCCAUUUCCAUCACCGCCGCCCCCUCCCCCUUCUCUCUCUCUCAACAACGAGC